AUUGAACGCUGGCGGCAUGCCUUACACAUGCAAGUCGAACGGUAACAGGCCGCAAGGUGCUGACGAGUGGCGAACGGGUGAGUAAUGCAUCGGAAUGUGCCCAGUCGUGGGGGAUAACUACUCGAAAGAGUAGCUAAUACCGCAUACGAUCUAUGGAUGAAAGCGGGGGACCGUAAGGCCUCGCGCGAUUUGAGCGGCUGAUGUCAGAUUAGGUAGUUGGUGGGGUAAAGGCUCACCAAGCCAACGAUCUGUAGCUGGUCUGAGAGGACGACCAGCCACGCUGGGACUGAGACACGGCCCAGACUCCUACGGGAGGCAGCAGUGGGGAAUUUUGGACAAUGGGCGCAAGCCUGAUCCAGCAAUGCCGCGUGCAGGAAGAAGGCCUUCGGGUUGUAAACUGCUUUUGUACGGAAAGAAACGGCUCUGGUUAAUACCCGGGGCUAAUGACGGUACCGUAAGAAUGAGCACCGGCUAACUACGUG
This 482-nucleotide ribosomal RNA is filed under the name uncultured bacterium. RNAcentral's name for it is "partial 16S ribosomal RNA". It matches the Rfam family "Bacterial small subunit ribosomal RNA", at positions 30 to 507 of the family's 1533-position model. The record is from RNAcentral.